RNAcentral lists this ribosomal RNA (714 nucleotides) under Ophionereis terba. Its description in RNAcentral is "eukaryotic LSU rRNA". It matches the Rfam family "Eukaryotic large subunit ribosomal RNA", at positions 128 to 467 of the family's 3401-position model. Lineage: Eukaryota; Metazoa; Echinodermata; Ophiuroidea; Amphilepidida; Ophionereidae. The record is from RNAcentral.
AGUGGCGUGCGGGAAAUGUGGCGUGAGGAAGCCGUGGCUAACCGGGGACGCGGAGCCGACGUCCUUGUGAAGGAGGCUCUCAUCCCAUAGAGUGUGUUAGGCCCCCGCAGGCGCCCGUCGCCGGUGGCCUUAAGGCUUCUAAGAGUCGGGUUGUUUUGGAAUGCAGCCCAAAGACGGGUGGUAAACUCCAUCCAAGGCUAAAUACUAGGCACGAGACCGAUAGAUAACAAGUACCAUGAGGGAAAGUUGAAAAGAACUUUGAAGAGAGAGUUCAAUAGGACGUGAAGCUGCCGAGAAGUAAACGGAAAGGCCCCGCACACCGUGGCCGGGAGAUUCAGCGCAAGUGGAGGUUUCGGCGCCCUGCACCGUCUGCGGAUUCCCCUCGGGAACCCUGGCGGAGUGGGUCGAUGCAGCCGCCCGUCGCGCGCAUUUCUCCCGUGCCUCUGGGGUUGGUGACCGAUCGUUGAUCGGCCGAUUGGACGCGGUGAAGGCAGGUAGCUCACCCGGGYUUCGGCYCGGGAGAGAACGUAUAGUCUCGCCGUCUGCAUCGGUCGCAAGGUCGAGGAAAGAUGCCCACGUGCUGCGCCUGCUCGGGUCUUCGGACCGGGGCUGGAGCCGCCGGACUCCCGCUCGUGCGGCGUACGGGGACUGUCCUCAGUGCCCGCUCGCCCGUGCGGUCGAGAAAGGCCGGAUCGCCUCUCAGGCGCACGGGGU